GUUAAUGUAGCUUAACAUCAAAGCAAAGCACUGAAAAUGCUUAGAUGAGCCCAUUCGCUCCAUAAACA
This 68-nucleotide transfer RNA is filed under the name Plecotus macrobullaris. Its description in RNAcentral is "tRNA-Phe". It matches the Rfam family "tRNA". Rfam says of the family: Transfer RNA (tRNA) molecules are approximately 80 nucleotides in length. Lineage: Eukaryota; Metazoa; Chordata; Mammalia; Chiroptera; Vespertilionidae. The record is from RNAcentral.